RNAcentral lists this unclassified non-coding RNA (1045 nucleotides) under Acromyrmex echinatior (Panamanian leafcutter ant). Its description in RNAcentral is "uncharacterized LOC105144367, transcript variant X6". Lineage: Eukaryota; Metazoa; Arthropoda; Insecta; Hymenoptera; Formicidae. The record is from RNAcentral.
UCUGUUGAACUCAGCCAGUCGGCGACAUUAGUGGCAUGGAACAGAUUGAACGGGUAUGUUUGGAAUCUUCUUCUUGGCUGUCGUGUUUGGCUGUUCGCGAGAAUUGUUUACAAUCUGAUAUCCCACAUAUCCCGAUUUUGAUCGAGGAUAUUCCUCGAUACGCGUCUUUACCUGAUUAUAAAGAGAAUUGUAUACAAACCAUACAAACAAUUGGUGAGAUUGUACCCAUCACAGCGCGAGUUGCGCAUUUACAAAGUAUUUCAUCAGAUCGCGAGGCAAGAAUUACUCUUAGUCUAGAGGAACUUCCUGUACAUGCUCUUUAUUUCAAGGAUAGCAAGGGAAGGCACCUACUUAUAUGGCUUUUGCCGCUUUUUUAUAAUUGGCUUUUCAUCAUAAAGUUUCACAUGAACGCAGAUCAUCAGACAAUAUGCACAAGUCAAAGUCGAAAAAAAGGAAGCAGAGUUUCAAUCCAAAAACAGCAGAAACUGAUGAGAAUAGUUUCAUGCAUUAUGGAAUGCGUUAUGGAAGAAAAUUAAGGGCGAGGAGGUGACCAUGUCAUUAAUUAUUCGGUCGAAUACUGAAUUUUGAAUUUUAUUACAGUCUUUUCAGCUCUUUCGCAAUAUAAAGUGCAAAGUAUAUAAUGGUGACAUUAAAUUUGCAUCAACAGAUGCGCGAGGACUAGGCUUCAAAAUUGCAUCAUGUGUGAUAAGUGUGAGCAAACAUUCCUUCGAGUUUGUUUAUAAAUCAUUUAUACGAAUAUCUGGUGAUGGUACAUGGAAGACACAUAGAUUUAUUUCACUGUAUGGAGUUGCUUCCUUGAUUGGACAUUAUAUUGGCAAGGUUUUAGAUGUCAUAAUGAAAAGGGCAUAUUGCAAAAUGUGUGAAUCGUGGUCGAAGAAAUUAAAUGAAGUCGAGUAUGAAGAAAACCCAUGACGUACCCAUCACAGUUAAUCACUCAGCAUGAAAAAUGGAGGUCGAUGCCAUUACGCAAAUGUUCCGAAGGUCUGCACGGUGUCAAAUAUGUUCAUUAUAUUGGAGACGGAGA